RNAcentral lists this unclassified non-coding RNA (226 nucleotides) under Pseudomonas lundensis. Its description in RNAcentral is "Pseudomonas sRNA P29". Lineage: Bacteria; Pseudomonadati; Pseudomonadota; Gammaproteobacteria; Pseudomonadales; Pseudomonadaceae. The record is from RNAcentral.
CAACACAAAGGGGAGCCUAAGCUCCCCUUUAAUGUGUUGUUGCCUGCUCUUUUUAUUAUUGAGGGGCGGUCUGUUAUUGUUUUUGUGACCGUGGCCCUUUACUGCUGUUUUUGGCGAUCCCCAUCCGGGAUCAAGAGCAAACGUAUUUUUUUGAGCGCUGAUCCACUUUCAUCACAGGGUUUGAAACCUGCGAUCCAACCUGAACGGGUGCUACCUGAAGGUAGUU